This 1377-nucleotide long non-coding RNA is filed under the name Piliocolobus tephrosceles (Ugandan red Colobus). RNAcentral describes it as "lncRNA (ENSPTEG00000003002.1)". Lineage: Eukaryota; Metazoa; Chordata; Mammalia; Primates; Cercopithecidae. The record is from RNAcentral.
AUGGAAGAUAUUUUAGACGAAAUAAUUUCGAUAAGUAAAAAAAAAAAAAAAAAAGAAGAAGAGAGAGCAGUAGUUAAGGGAAAACUAAACAAAAAAAAAAGCAACACAAAUAUAUAUACUGAAAAACAAUAUGAAAAAAAUUACGGAACAAAUAAUUAUAAUUCAAAUGAAAAUAAAAAAAAAGGUUUAAUAAAAAAUAAAAGCACAUGGGAUAUAUCAACCACAUGCUCAAGUAUUGAAGGUGUUAAUUAUAAUGAUAGAAAUGGGGAUGACAAAACUUACAGCAAUAAUGAAAACAAUAGCAAUGAAGACAGCAGCAGUGAUGAAAGUAGCAGUGAUGAAAGCAGCAGUGAUGAAAGCAGCAGUGAUGAAAGAAGCAGCGAUAACAACGACAAAAAUAAUAAUAUAUAUGAUAAAGAUUAUAUACAAAUUGAAAAAAAAAAUAUUUUUAGUACUAUAAUAAAUAAUACUAAAUCACAUGAGUCUGAAAGUUUGUUAUAUUAUAAAGACAUCGAAAAAAAUGCUGAUGAAACAACUCCAUUAUUCUUAAAUAAACAAACAUUAAAUAAUUAUUUAGUUACAGUAAAUGAUAUAAAUACAAACAUAAGUAAUAUAUAUAAAAAUAUAGAUAAAAUAAAUGUUAUUAAAAAAAAAAUAGAUUUAAAUAUUUAUGACAAUGAGAAAUUGUAUACAAAAAUAAAUGUUAUAAUUAAUAACUCUGAAGAAAUAGUAAAAUAUAUAAAAAUAAAAAUAAAUGCAUUAAAUGAAGAAAAUGAGAAUUUUGAAAAAAAUAAUACUAUGGUAAGUGAAAUAAAAUUACGUAUAAACAUAUUCAUUGAUGUUGUCAAUAAAUAUAAAACUUGUAUAAACAAAUAUAAAAAUAUAUGUAAUCAAUAUUAUGAACAUGUUAAUAAAAAUGUUAUAAAACAUUAUAAAUUAAUACAUCCAAAUUUAAGUGAUCAUAAUAUACAUAAAUUAUUAAAACAAAAUAAACUUUCUAUUGACACAUUUCAAAAUAUAAAUAAAAAUUCUUACAAAAAUGAUAUGUUAUAUUGUACAAACAUAGAACAGUUUGAAGUUGAAAAAAUAAAACAAAAACAUAAAGAAUUAAAAAAAUUAGAAACAAAUAUAAUAUCAUUAAACGAAUUAUAUAUUGAGCUAGCUUAUGUAAUUAAAAAAAGAAAAAAUCUUAUUAACAAUAUUGAAGACAAUGUUUACCAAGUCAAAAAUUAUACAGAAGAUGCUCUUCAUAAUAUUGUCGAGGCAAAAAGAUAUAAUACUAUUAUUAAAAAAAAAAUACUUUAUUUUAGCAUUUUCUUAUUAAUAGUUGCUUUUAUCAUUUUAUGUCCUGUUCUAUUUAAUUAUUCACUAUUUUAA